This 1487-nucleotide long non-coding RNA is filed under the name Homo sapiens (human). Its description in RNAcentral is "HSALNT0206049". The record is from RNAcentral. Lineage: Eukaryota; Metazoa; Chordata; Mammalia; Primates; Hominidae.
GGAGAAACCUAGGUCAAAUCCAGUGCCAUGUUGGGUCUAGUUGGUCUUAGUCUUAGCUUGGCCCACACCCUGGUUGUGCAGAGUCUUACAGCCUCAAGCUUCUGCAGCUACUUCAACAGUUUUCCUUUUGCUAAUCAGGUUAAACUGCUGCUGGCAAUUUUCUAUUCUCCUGCAACCACCCUGAAUGACCCCUGUCUCAGGGGGACACAGGCACAGGCCCUUACAUGCUUACUCCUGGAAAGGAUGCAAGAAACCUAUGCUCACUUCUCAUAGCCCAAGGGACAUGCAAGUAAAUCUUAACUGCUGCUCACUCUGGGUCUACACUGCUUUUAUGAGCUGUAACACUUACCGCGAAGGUCUGCAGCUUCACUCCUGAAGCCAGCGAGACCACGAGUCCACCGGGAGGAAGAACAACUCCAGACGUGCCGCCUUAAGAGCUGUAACACUCACUGUGAAGGUCCGCAGCUUCACUCCUGAAGCCAGCGAGACCAUGAGUCCACCGUGAGGAAGAACAACUCCAGACGUGCUGCCUUAAGAGCUGUAACACUCACUGUGAAGGUCCGCAGCUUCACUCCUGAGCCAGCGAGACCACGAACCCACCAGAAGGAAGAAACUCCGAACACAUCCGAACAUCAGAAGGAACAAACUCCAGAUGCGCCACCUUAAGAGCUGUAACACUCACCGCGAGGGUCCGCGGCUUCAUUCUUGAAGUCAGUGAGACCAAGAACCCACCAAUUCCAGACUCACUAAGACAUUACUUUUAGCUCAGCAUUUCUUGGAUGCCCAGGCAAAAGUAUGGAUGCAUAAAAUUAGAUAAUCCCUACAGUCUUAUGGAAUGUGGCUUUUGCUGGCCAAGCCUCUCUCGCUUACCACAGUGCAACUUCAAGAAUUAAUAUAUUCAAAAAAGGCCUGGAAUUUCCAAACAACAUUCUUAUUAAGGAGGACAGCUGGCUGGCUUCCUUCACUUUCAUAUUAAUAAGCCUCAAUCCUUGCUGAUCAUAAACCCGCACCUGAGGAUGAGUGCCAGGAAAUGCAAUGCCUUCUUCCCUCCUGGGUUGCCUCUUUCAGAGAUUUGGGGGGGCAGUGGCAUCCUCAUGCAAGCUGGUCUACUGGUGGCUGCCCCUGUGACCUGCUUCUGAAUGGCCAGGCAGGAAAAGUCUCCCACUGUGUUGCAUUUAAAGAAAAGAAAAAGAUGAAUUAAGUAAAAAGCUCUGCAAACAACUGAGUGUAAUUAUUGGAUAUGUAUAAACUUAUGCAUAUUUUCCUUUUUUUAAUUAUACUUUAAGUUCUAGGGCACAUGUGCACAACGUGCAGGUUAGUUACAUAUGUAUACAUGUGCCAUGUUGGUGUGCUGCACCCAUUAACUCGUCAUUUAACAUUCGGUAUAUCUCCUAAUGCUAUCCCUCCCCCCUCCCCCCACCCCACAACAGGCCCUGGUAUGUGAUGUUCCCCUUCCUGUGUCCAUGUGUUCUCAUUGUUCAAUUCCC